Molecule: ribosomal RNA, 253 nt
Filed under: uncultured bacterium
Lineage: Bacteria
Description: partial 16S ribosomal RNA
Rfam family: Bacterial small subunit ribosomal RNA
Source: RNAcentral
UACAGAGGUGGCAAGCGUUGUUCGGAAUUACUGGGCGUAAAGCGUGCGCAGGCGGUUAUGUAAGACAGUUGUGAAAUCCCCGGGCUCAACCUGGGAACUGCAUCUGUGACUGCAUAGCUAGAGUACGGUAGAGGGGGAUGGAAUUCCGCGUGUAGCAGUGAAAUGCGUAGAUAUGCGGAGGAACACCGAUGGCGAAGGCAAUCCCCUGGACCUGUACUGACGCUCAUGCACGAAAGCGUGGGGAGCAAACAGG